Small nuclear RNA from Saimiri boliviensis boliviensis (Bolivian squirrel monkey), 105 nucleotides. The record is from Ensembl. NCBI's taxonomy places the organism in Eukaryota, Metazoa, Chordata, Mammalia, Primates, Cebidae.
GUGCCCUCCUUGGCAGUACAUAUGCUAAAAAGAAGGAUACAUAAAAGAUUAGCACAGCCCCUGGGCAAGGAAGACACGCAAAUCUCUGAAGUGUCUCAUAUUAAA